CUAGUAACGGCGAGUGAAGCGGCAACAGCUCAAAUUUGAAAUCUGGCCUUCGGGUCCGAGUUGUAAUUUGUAGAGGAUGCUUUUGGUGCGGUACCUUCCGAGUUCCUUGGAACAGGACGCCUUAGAGGGUGAGAGCCCCGUACGGUUGGAUACCAAGCCUCUGUAAAGCUCCUUCGACGAGUCGAGUAGUUUGGGAAUGCUGCUCUAAAUGGGAGGUAAAUUUCUUCUAAAGCUAAAUACCGGCCAGAGACCGAUAGCGCACAAGUAGAGUGAUCGAAAGAUGAAAAGUACUUUGAAAAGAGGGUUAAAUAGCACGUGAAAUUGUUGAAAGGGAAGCGUUUAUGACCAGACCUUUGCCUGGCGGAUCAUCCGGUGUUCUUCACCGGUGCACUUCGCCUGGCUUAGGCCAGCAUCGAUUUUCGUUAGGGGAUAAAGACCGCGGGAACGUAGCUCUCUUCGGGGAGUGUUAUAGCCCGCGGUGUAAUACCCUUACGGGGAUCGAGGUUCGCGCUCUGCAAGGAUGCUGGCAUAAUGGUCAUCAACGACCCGUCUUGAAACACGGACCAAGGAGUCGAACAUUUAUGCGAGUGUUUGGGUGUUAAACCCUCACGCGUAAUGAAAGUGAACGGAGGUGAGAGCCCCUUUUCGGGGUGCAUCAUCGACCGAUCCUGAUGUCUUCGGAUGGAUUUGAGUAAGAGCAUAACUGUUCGGACCCGAAAGAUGGUGAACUAUGCGUGGAUAGGGUGAAGCCAGAGGAAACUCUGGUGGAGGCUCGCAGCGGUUCUGACGUGCAAAUCGAUCGUCAAAUCUGCGCAUGGGGGGCGAAAGACUUAUCGAACCAUCUAGUAGCUGG
This 853-nucleotide ribosomal RNA is filed under the name Cryptosphaeria sp. RNAcentral's name for it is "partial large subunit ribosomal RNA". It matches the Rfam family "Eukaryotic large subunit ribosomal RNA", at positions 80 to 954 of the family's 3401-position model. The record is from RNAcentral. Lineage: Eukaryota; Fungi; Ascomycota; Sordariomycetes; Xylariales; Diatrypaceae.